RNAcentral lists this transfer RNA (72 nucleotides) under Myotis brandtii (Brandt's bat). It matches the Rfam family "tRNA". Rfam says of the family: Transfer RNA (tRNA) molecules are approximately 80 nucleotides in length. Their secondary structure includes four short double-helical elements and three loops (D, anti-codon, and T loops). The record is from Rfam by way of RNAcentral. Lineage: Eukaryota; Metazoa; Chordata; Mammalia; Chiroptera; Vespertilionidae.
GCCGGUUUGGCUCAGUGGUUAGAGCGUCAGCCUGUGGACUGAGGGUUGUGGGUUCAAUUCCAGUCAAGGGCA